Molecule: ribosomal RNA, 117 nt
Filed under: Larimichthys crocea (large yellow croaker)
Lineage: Eukaryota; Metazoa; Chordata; Actinopteri; Sciaenidae
Source: RNAcentral
GCUUAGGCCAUACCACCCUGAAUGCGCCCGAUCUCGUCUGAUCUCGGAAGCUAAGCAGGUCAGGCCUGGUUAGUACUUGGAUGGGAGACCUCCUGGGAAUACCAGGUGCUGUAAGCU